Molecule: unclassified non-coding RNA, 395 nt
Filed under: Hoplocryptanthus ferrarius
Lineage: Eukaryota; Viridiplantae; Streptophyta; Magnoliopsida; Poales; Bromeliaceae
Description: partial 26S-18S rRNA external transcribed spacer
Source: RNAcentral
UCCACACAUGAGCAGUCACGGAUUGGUGUGUCCCACAGGCUCCUUGCCUCUCGCAAUCAACCACCGAAGAGGCCAUCCUUCUUAGUCCUAUGCUCAUUCGUAUCUUUAGGCCAUCCUUUUUAGUCCAGUGCAUUGCGUGUGCCAUAUACCCGGCUCUGCAGGAAGUCAAUGUACCCCAUGUACCAGUUCGCCUUACCACCUUGAGCAGAAGGCACAACCACAAUGUGGUCGUCGCGCGGACCUUAACGACACAACCCUUGGGCCCCGUGCUAGCUAGGCUCCUGAAGUAUCGCAAGCUCUCGCGAAUGCAGUAGGCUUCGGGGACUUCAGCCUUCGGCCUGGACCUUGAUAGGUGAUUAAGCCACCCUCGUCGAGACAACGGUCGAUCCACCGAU